GUCCAGACUCCUACGGGAGGCAGCAGUGAGGAAUAUUGGUCAAUGGCCGAAGGGCUGAACCAGCCAAGCCGCGUGAAGGAAUAAGGCCCUACGGGUCGUAAACUUCUUUAGUCAGGGAACAAAGGGAGCCACGCGUGGCGCUGUGAGUGUACCUGAAGAAUAAGCAUCGGCUAACUCCGUGCCAGCAGCCGCGGUAAUACGGAGGAUGCGAGCGUUAUCCGGAUUUACUGGGUGUAAAGGGAGCGUAGACGGCAGUGCAAGUCUGGAGUGAAAGGCGGGGGCUCAACCCCCGGACUGCUCUGGAAACUGUACGGCCGGAGUGCAGGAGAGGUAAGUGGAAUUCCUAGUGUAGCGGUGAAAUGCGUAGAUAUCACGCAGAACUCCGAUUGCGAAGGCAGCAUACCGGCGCGCAACUGACGCUCAUGCACGAAAGCGUGGGUAUCGAACAGGAUUAGAUACCCUUGUA
Molecule: ribosomal RNA, 466 nt
Filed under: uncultured bacterium
Lineage: Bacteria
Description: bacterial SSU rRNA
Rfam family: Bacterial small subunit ribosomal RNA
Source: RNAcentral